RNAcentral lists this ribosomal RNA (85 nucleotides) under Lentilactobacillus parafarraginis. RNAcentral describes it as "Lactobacillus parafarraginis partial 16S ribosomal RNA". It matches the Rfam family "Bacterial small subunit ribosomal RNA", at positions 1 to 82 of the family's 1533-position model. The record is from RNAcentral. Lineage: Bacteria; Bacillati; Bacillota; Bacilli; Lactobacillales; Lactobacillaceae.
UUUUAAGAUGAGAGUUUGAUCCUGGCUCAGGACGAACGCUGGCGGCGUGCCUAAUACAUGCAAGUCGAACGCGUCUUGGUUAAUG